RNAcentral lists this ribosomal RNA (802 nucleotides) under Cellulosimicrobium funkei. RNAcentral describes it as "bacterial SSU rRNA". It matches the Rfam family "Bacterial small subunit ribosomal RNA", at positions 49 to 864 of the family's 1533-position model. The record is from RNAcentral. Lineage: Bacteria; Bacillati; Actinomycetota; Actinomycetes; Micrococcales; Promicromonosporaceae.
UUACCAUGCAAGUCGAACGAUGAUGCCCAGCUUGCUGGGUGGAUUAGUGGCGAACGGGUGAGUAACACGUGAGUAACCUGCCCUUGACUUCGGGAUAACUCCGGGAAACCGGGGCUAAUACCGGAUAUGAGCCGUCCUCGCAUGGGGGUGGUUGGAAAGUUUUUCGGUCAGGGAUGGGCUCGCGGCCUAUCAGCUUGUUGGUGGGGUGAUGGCCUACCAAGGCGACGACGGGUAGCCGGCCUGAGAGGGCGACCGGCCACACUGGGACUGAGACACGGCCCAGACUCCUACGGGAGGCAGCAGUGGGGAAUAUUGCACAAUGGGCGAAAGCCUGAUGCAGCGACGCCGCGUGAGGGAUGAAGGCCUUCGGGUUGUAAACCUCUUUCAGCAGGGAAGAAGCGCAAGUGACGGUACCUGCAGAAGAAGCGCCGGCUAACUACGUGCCAGCAGCCGCGGUAAUACGUAGGGCGCAAGCGUUGUCCGGAAUUAUUGGGCGUAAAGAGCUCGUAGGCGGUUUGUCGCGUCUGGUGUGAAAACUCGAGGCUCAACCUCGAGCUUGCAUCGGGUACGGGCAGACUAGAGUGCGGUAGGGGAGACUGGAAUUCCUGGUGUAGCGGUGGAAUGCGCAGAUAUCAGGAGGAACACCGAUGGCGAAGGCAGGUCUCUGGGCCGCAACUGACGCUGAGGAGCGAAAGCAUGGGGAGCGAACAGGAUUAGAUACCCUGGUAGUCCAUGCCGUAAACGUUGGGCACUAGGUGUGGGGCUCAUUCCACGAGUUCCGUGCCGCAGCAAACGCAUUAAG